AUUGGUCAAUGGACGCAAGUCUGAACCAGCCACGCCGCGUGCAGGAUGACGGCCCUAUGGGUUGUAAACUGCUUUUGUUUGGGAAGAAACCCCUUUUGCGAAAGGGACUGACGGUACCAGACGAAUAAGCACCGGCUAACUCCGUGCCAGCAGCCGCGGUAAUACGGAGGAUCCAAGCGUUAUCCGGAUUUAUUGGGUUUAAAGGGUGCGCAGGCGGAAGAUUAAGUCGGCGGUGAAAUUUUGCAGCUCAACUGUAAAAGUGCCAUCGAUACUGGUUUUCUUGAGUGUGGAUGAAGUAGGCGGAAUUUGUGGUGUAGCGGUGAAAUGCAUAGAUAUCACGAGGAACUCCGAUUGCGCAGGCAGCUUACUAGGCCAUAACUGACGCUCAGGCACGAAGGCGUGGGGAUCAAACAGG
RNAcentral lists this ribosomal RNA (415 nucleotides) under uncultured bacterium. RNAcentral describes it as "bacterial SSU rRNA". It matches the Rfam family "Bacterial small subunit ribosomal RNA", at positions 363 to 776 of the family's 1533-position model. The record is from RNAcentral.